AACGAACGCUGGCGGCAUGCCUAACACAUGCAAGUCGAACGAGAUCUUCGGGUCUAGUGGCGCACGGGUGCGUAACGCGUGGGAAUCUGCCCUUUGGUUCGGAAUAACAGUUGGAAACGACUGCUAAUACAGGAUGAUGACGAAAGUCCAAAGAUUUAUCGCCAGAGGAUGAGCCCGCGUAGGAUUAGCUAGUUGGUGAGGUAAAGGCUCACCAAGCCUACGAUCGGUAGCUGGUCUGAGAGGAUGACCAGCCAGACUGGAACUGAGACACGGUCCAGAGUCCUACGGGAGGCAGCAGUGAGGAAUCUACCACAAUGGAGGCAACCCUGAUGGAGCAACGCCGCGUGCAGGAUGAAGGCCUCCGGGUCGUAAACCGCUUUUAUGAGUGAAGAAUAUGACGGUAACUCAUGAAUAAGGGUCGGCUAACUACGUGCCAGCCGCCGCGGUAA
This 449-nucleotide ribosomal RNA is filed under the name uncultured bacterium. RNAcentral describes it as "partial 16S ribosomal RNA". It matches the Rfam family "Bacterial small subunit ribosomal RNA", at positions 29 to 523 of the family's 1533-position model. The record is from RNAcentral.